Molecule: non-coding RNA, 204 nt
Organism: Pelobates cultripes (western spadefoot toad)
Lineage: Eukaryota; Metazoa; Chordata; Amphibia; Anura; Pelobatidae
Source: the annotation of a GenBank genome assembly
GUAAUUCACCGCUGUCACAUUAAGUGCACCCACACUUAUUAUAUAUCAUUUUGUUCAGGAGAAACAGGGCUUUAAUUUAUCAUUAACUAUUCAUAUAUGGAACAUAAUUUAUUAUGAAUAAAAUUUUAAAAAUGUGAGAAAAUAAGUAAGAUUUUUUUUUAAAUUUGUAUUUCCAUCUGACAUUUUAGCUGUUAAUGUCAUAAU